GCUUCUGAAGAAUCAUUUGAGGUACUUAGUGGCGGACGGGUGAGUAACGCGUGGGUAACCUGCCUCACACUGGGGGAUAGCAGUUGGAAACGACUGAUAAUACCGCAUAAGCGCACAGUAUCGCAUGAUACAGUGUGAAAAACUCCGGUGGUGUGAGAUGGACCCGCGUCUGAUUAGCCAGUUGGCGGGGUAACGGCCCACCAAAGCUACGAUCAGUAGCCGGCCUGAGAGGGUGUACGGCCACAUUGGGACUGAGACACGGCCCAAACUCCUACGGGAGGCAGCAGUGGGGAAUAUUGCACAAUGGGGGAAACCCUGAUGCAGCGACGCCGCGUGAGUGAUGAAGUAUUUCGGUAUGUAAAACUCUAUCAGCAGGGAAGAUAAUGACGGUACCUGACUAAGAAGCACCGGCUAAAUACGUGCCAGCAGCCGCGGUAAUACGUAUGGUGCAAGCGUUAUCCGGAUUUACUGGGUGUAAAGGGUGCGUAGGUGGUUGCGCAAGUCAGAAGUGAAAACUAUGGGCUCAACCCAUAGACUGCUUUUGAACUGCGUAACUAGAGUGCAGGAGAGGAAAGUGGAAUUCCUAGUGUAGCGGUGAAAUGCGUAGAUAUUAGGAGGAACACCAGUGGCGAAGGCGGCUUUCUGGACUGCAACUGACACUGAGGCACGA
Molecule: ribosomal RNA, 670 nt
Filed under: uncultured rumen bacterium
Lineage: Bacteria
Description: bacterial SSU rRNA
Rfam family: Bacterial small subunit ribosomal RNA
Source: RNAcentral